This 23-nucleotide small nuclear RNA is filed under the name Arabidopsis thaliana (thale cress). Its description in RNAcentral is "snRNA_10614". The record is from RNAcentral. Lineage: Eukaryota; Viridiplantae; Streptophyta; Magnoliopsida; Brassicales; Brassicaceae.
UCGUUCCGCGACCCAAAAUUCUC